GUGUUACAUGUGUGUGCAUGUGCGUGUGCAUGCAUAUGUGUGUACGUGCAUGCGUGUGUGUACGUGCAUCCUUUGUGUGUGUGUGUGUGUGUGUGUCUGUCC
This 102-nucleotide microRNA precursor is filed under the name Echinops telfairi (small Madagascar hedgehog). RNAcentral describes it as "miRNA (ENSETEG00000023953.1)". Lineage: Eukaryota; Metazoa; Chordata; Mammalia; Afrosoricida; Tenrecidae. The record is from RNAcentral.